AUGCGAGGCCGAAGGCGCCAGAUCCAGACCACUACCAACACGACGCCGGCAGCAACCUUCCCACAAGCAGCGGCCAUGGUGUACUCGGCCUCCCUGCAAAGCUUCCUCCCGCCCUCGGCCCACGCGGCGACGUCGUCGUCCCAGCACCGGCCCAACCGUGCCCGCCCCUUCCAGUGCGCGGCCGUUUCCGCCCCGUCGUAUUCGGCCGCCUCGCCGUCGGCCUCGGCCGUCCCGGCGGAGCGGGUGGAGCAGCGCUGCAACGGGAGGGCAGGUACUGGGUGCUCAAGGAGAAGUACCGCACCAGCCUCACAAGCUCACCAAGCUGCCCAUGGAGCGGACGCCGACAAGCUCACCAAGGAGGACGUCGACGUGCGGCUCGGCCUCUUCCACCGCCGCAAGCAGCAGUGUAUGCCCCUGCUCUGUCAAGGGAUCAGGGAUGCGUUGAAGGUUAGGAGCCUGAUGAACGAGCUGACUGCAGCCAAGACUGAGCUGAAACAAUCAAGGGAGGUGAUCAGCAACAGUAAGAAGGCUCUGCUAGACAAUGCCCUGAGCCAGCUCGACGCGUUCAAGAAUCUAAGCAAUCCAGCAAUUAACAGCAGCGGCAACAGAGGCGGAGCGGGGAAUACCAGCAGCAACAGAGGUGAGAGCGGGCGCGACCUUCGGAGGAGGGCCAGCACGGAGAGGAAGACCCUGUGCUUGGAGGAGAGGUUGAGCAGGGCCAACGCGGCGAUGAAGACCCUGGGCCAGAGCGGCGAGGAAGACCCAGCGCCGCGACGGCGUCCAAAAUUGUCCGCGGCGACGGCGGCCAAGGCGGACCAAAUCAAGGACCUAGUCGUCGAUUUACUGCUUCUUGGCACGAUUCAGAGGGAGGUGAUGAAGAGGAAGAACUUUAGGAGCAAUCCCGCUGCUCAGGUAGGCGAGGGCACACCCAUGGCGGCUGCGCAGCUGGGCGGCGAUGCAAGGCGCCUCCGUGGAGGUCCUGCGCGUCUCCUCCGCGACGACGCAAGUCGUCUCCUGCACAGGCGGCUGGGUCUUGCGACGCGCGGAGACUCUCUCUGGGUGCUGAGGAGAAUGGGGGAGGAAGACGGGGGAUGGUGGCCGGAGCUGGCGACGCGCGAGCGACGGUGGAGAAGUGAGGAAGGAGACGGGGGCGUUUUUUCAAACGAUUCAAAAGUAUAA
Molecule: ribosomal RNA, 1179 nt
Filed under: Triticum aestivum (bread wheat)
Lineage: Eukaryota; Viridiplantae; Streptophyta; Magnoliopsida; Poales; Poaceae
Description: partial small subunit ribosomal RNA
Source: RNAcentral